This 478-nucleotide long non-coding RNA is filed under the name Capsicum annuum. RNAcentral describes it as "long non-coding RNA (CANN_LNC004415)". Lineage: Eukaryota; Viridiplantae; Streptophyta; Magnoliopsida; Solanales; Solanaceae. The record is from RNAcentral.
UUUGGUGCUCAAUUGAACUUUACUAAACCACUAGACCAUAUCCUUGGGUCCAAAAACUGGUAACCUAUGUUCACCUAAUUAAGGGUGUGGCCUAGCAGUUGAUGAAGUGAGUGAGUAUCAUGAGAUCGCAGGUUUAAAUCUUAGUGGGGUAUAUAUGCAUUCACUCUUGUUCUACUUAUGCUAGCAGAGGUGAAUUAUCAAACUGAUCAUUUCUCCACACCGCAACUUGGGAUAGAUUUAUCAGCAUACUGAACCUAUAUUCUUAAUAUGUAUUUAUAAUAAUACUUGUGCUAAUUAAAUAUCGUCAUUUACAAUUGGGCUUUAAAUUAAACAAAAUUAUCUCUUACUGCCAUUCCAAUUUGGCAUUUUUGUCCGUUCGCCGCAUCCUGACACAAUUCGACAUCAUGCAAUAUAUUUAAUCUGUUGAAUCAAUUAUUUGGUCAUGGAGAAUGUAAUGUAACACAGCUCCAUGUUCUGC